GACAUGAAGAGGAACACACCGGCGGGAGAACACAGAACACGCACCCUUUCUUUUAGUCACCCUGGAGGCCUCGGAGAAGGCGGUUUCAGUGAUCCGUGAAGAGACCCCGAGUCUUUUACAUCCCGGAGAAUGACAAGAGAGCGAGUACCUGGGCGACGUUUACGUUCUGGGAUUUCGGGAGAUGCGGUUUUCUGCACGCCAGGGGCCAAGCCUGAGACGUAGAUGGACGGCAGGGAUAGGAGCUCUCUCCGCGCCACAAACGCCCCUGCUCAUACCUGGGUUCCUUGAUUUUCCUGCCUAUAUAACCCAGCCUCCCAUGGCCGGGCUCUGAGCUCUCAUUCUGCGGACUGGGACAAAGGGGUUAACUGUGAUGCGCUUUGUAUAACCCCAGGAUUCUGCACUUGCCCAAGGGCGAGGUGCAAAUCAAAAACUACGCACAACUGAACACCGAGAUCAGAAAUUGACAAGCUUAUUCUGAAGGACCUAGAGUAACCUAAAUAAUUAGGAAAAGAAAAACAAAGAGGACUUACACCAGGUGAUGUCAAGACUUAUUAUAAAGCUAAGGAUCCCGACUCAGAUUGAAAAAGCAGAGGAUGGUCACUGCCUUCCAGGUCUGAGGCUGUCUCCCAGAAACUUCAUUCCUCGCUUCGCCUUGGUUCUCCAUCACUUUCUGAGUCCUACAGGAGGAAAGUGCUAUUGAAGAUGAGGCGCGUAUGGCGUGAAGUUCUGGGGCUGGGAGAAGCUGCCCCGCUACUUCCGGGUGGCCUUGCCUGCAGGGAGCAGUUUGUAUUCCCCGUUGUUUCUCCUGUUGACGACAUCUGUGCCUCUUAUCUGGGAGAAGAUCAGAGGAAACUGCCGCCUCCCCCAAGCACGUGUUUUACUGCUCCCCAUUUCACAACCUAGUGCUGUCCACUUGCAUGGGAUGUUUCUUUUCCAUCACAAUGCUCUGAGAUAACGAAGUCGAGGGAAGUUUGUGCAGCCCUCCAGACCCUCCAGAUUUCAAAGGAAAGCCCACCGCUGCUGGUCUGGGGGAGCUGAUGGCCUAUUCAUGGAUGAGAUGGACUAAGGACAGUGGGAAGCACAAUGGACCAACAGUAUUGUUGGAGGGGACUGCGUGAGGAAGCAGGAGCCUAAACAACACUCUCCAGAUACUGCGUGAACACUGUC
This 1167-nucleotide long non-coding RNA is filed under the name Homo sapiens (human). RNAcentral describes it as "HSALNT0334794". Lineage: Eukaryota; Metazoa; Chordata; Mammalia; Primates; Hominidae. The record is from RNAcentral.